GGGGAUUUAGCUCAGUGGUUCCAGUGCGUGCCUUGCAAGCACAAGGACCUGAGUUCAAUCCCCG
This 64-nucleotide transfer RNA is filed under the name Fukomys damarensis (Damara mole-rat). It matches the Rfam family "tRNA". From Rfam's summary of the family: Transfer RNA (tRNA) molecules are approximately 80 nucleotides in length. Their secondary structure includes four short double-helical elements and three loops (D, anti-codon, and T loops). Lineage: Eukaryota; Metazoa; Chordata; Mammalia; Rodentia; Bathyergidae. The record is from Rfam by way of RNAcentral.